CGGGGCUUAAAGUCUUGUAAUUGGAAUGAUGGGAAUUUAAACCUCUUCCAGAGUAUCAAUUGGAGGGCAAGUCUGGUGCCAGCAGCCGCGGUAAUUCCAGCUCCAAUAGCGUAUAUUAAAAUUGUUGCAGUUAAAAAGCUCGUAGUUGAAUUUCUGCUGCAUUCCCCUUUCUCCCUUACGAGUUUGGGCCUUGCGGCUUAUCUGGGUUCGCUUGCGUUCCCGGUGUUUUACUUUGAGAAAAUUAGAGUGCUCAAAGCAGGCUUUUGCCUUGAAUAGUUUAGCAUGGAAUAAUAAAGUAGGACUUUGGUUCUAUUUUGUUGGUUUUAGGUACCAAAGUAAUGGUUAAUAGGAACAGUUGGGGGCAUUCGUAUUUAACUGUCAGAGGUGAAAUUCUUAGAUUUGUUAAAGACGAACUACUGCGAAAGCAUUUGCCAAGGAUGUUUUCAUUAAUCAAGAAC
Molecule: ribosomal RNA, 458 nt
Filed under: Theileria velifera
Lineage: Eukaryota; Apicomplexa; Aconoidasida; Piroplasmida; Theileriidae
Also listed under: 1 other name
Description: SSU rRNA
Rfam family: Eukaryotic small subunit ribosomal RNA
Source: RNAcentral